GAGUAUACUUCCAGUAUGUAGUGGAGGUGGUCCAGGGAGCUGAGUAUACUUCCAGUAUGUAGUGGAGGAGGUCCAGGGAGCUGAGUAUACUUCCAGUAUGUAGUGGAGGUGGUCCUGGGAGCUGAGUAUACAUCCAGUAUGUAGUGGAGGUGAUUCUGGGAGCUGAGUAUACUUCCAGUAUGUAGUGGAGGUGGUGUUGGGAGCUGAGGAUACUUCCAGUAUGUAGUGGAGGUGGUCCAAGGAGCUGAGUAUACUUCCAGUAUGUAGUGGAGGUGGUCCAGGGAGCUGAGUAUACAUCCAUUAUGUAGUGGAGGUGGUCCUGGGAGCUGAGGAUACUUCCAGUAUGUAGUGGAGGUGGUCCUGGGAGCUGAGUAUACUUCCAGUAUGUAGUGGAGGUGGUCCUGGGAGCUGAGUAUACUUCCAGUAUGUAGUGGAGCUGGUCCUGGGAGCUGAGUAUACUUCCAGUAUGUAGUGGAGGUGGUCCUGGGAGCUGGG
This 495-nucleotide long non-coding RNA is filed under the name Salmo salar (Atlantic salmon). Its description in RNAcentral is "lncRNA (ENSSSAG00000115392.1)". The record is from RNAcentral. Lineage: Eukaryota; Metazoa; Chordata; Actinopteri; Salmoniformes; Salmonidae.